GCAAGUCGAACGGUAACAGGUCUAGCUUGCUAGAUGCUGACGAGUGGCGGACGGGUGAGUAACGCGUAGGGAACUGCCUAUCAGAGGGGGAUAACCUGGGGAAACCCAGGCUAAUACCGCAUACGCCCCACGGGGGAAAGGAUGGGAACUUCGGUCCAUUCGCUGAUAGAUGUACCUGCGUUAGAUUAGCUUGUUGGUGAGGUAAAGGCUCACCAAGGCGACGAUCUAUAGCUGGUCUGAGAGGAUGAUC
Molecule: ribosomal RNA, 250 nt
Filed under: uncultured bacterium
Lineage: Bacteria
Description: partial 16S ribosomal RNA
Rfam family: Bacterial small subunit ribosomal RNA
Source: RNAcentral